GACGAACGCUGGCGGCGUGCUUAACACAUGCAAGUCGAACGGAAAGGCCCUGCUUGCAGGGUACUCGAGUGGCGAACGGGUGAGUAACACGUGGGUGAUCUGCCCUGCACUUCGGGAUAAGCUUGGGAAACUGGGUCUAAUACCGGAUAGGAACCAUCUUUAGUGUGGUGGUUGGAAAGUUUUUUCGGUGUAGGAUGAGCUCGCGGCCUAUCAGCUUGUUGGUGGGGUAAUGGCCUACCAAGGCGGCGACGGGUAGCCGGCCUGAGAGGGUGUACGGCCACAAUGGGGCUGGGAUACGGCCCAGACUCCUACGGGAGGCAGCAGUGGGGAAUAUUGCACAAUGGGCGCAAGCCUGAUGCAGCGACGCCGCGUGGGGGAUGAAGGCCUUCGGGUUGUAAACUCCUUUCGCUAGGGACGAAGCUUUUUGUGACGGUACCUAGAUAAGAAGCACCGGCUAACUACGUG
Molecule: ribosomal RNA, 465 nt
Filed under: uncultured bacterium
Lineage: Bacteria
Description: partial 16S ribosomal RNA
Rfam family: Bacterial small subunit ribosomal RNA
Source: RNAcentral